RNAcentral lists this ribosomal RNA (503 nucleotides) under uncultured bacterium. Its description in RNAcentral is "partial 16S ribosomal RNA". It matches the Rfam family "Bacterial small subunit ribosomal RNA", at positions 29 to 523 of the family's 1533-position model. The record is from RNAcentral.
AACGAACACUAGCGGCGUGUUUAAGACAUGCAAGUCGCACGGGAUAAGACAUGUAGUAAUACUUGUUUUAUUUAGUGGCGCACGGGUGAGUAACACGUGAAUUACAUGCCCUAUAGUGGGGAAUAGCCCAGGGAAACUUGGAUUAAUACCCCAUGGUAUCGAAAGAUUAAAGGUGGCCGCAAGGCUGUCGCUAUAGGAUUGGUUCGCGCCCUAUCAGCUUGUUGGUGAGGUAACGGCUCACCAAGGCAAUGACGGGUACCUGGUCUGAGAGGACGAUCAGGCACACUGGAACUGAGACACGGUCCAGACACCUACGGGUGGCAGCAGUCGAGAAUAAUUCACAAUGGGGGCAACCCUGAUGGUGCAACGCCGCGUGGAGGAUGACGGUCUUCGGAUUGUAAACUCCUGUCAUCUGGGAGAAAGACCUGACGGUAAAUAGCCGGCAGGGUUGAUAGUACCAGAAGAGGAAGGGACGGCUAACUUCGUGCCAGCCGCCGCAGUAA